This 468-nucleotide ribosomal RNA is filed under the name uncultured bacterium. RNAcentral's name for it is "partial 16S ribosomal RNA". It matches the Rfam family "Bacterial small subunit ribosomal RNA", at positions 28 to 507 of the family's 1533-position model. The record is from RNAcentral.
GACGAACGCUGGCGGCGUGCUUAACACAUGCAAGUCGAACGGAAAGGCCCUGCUUUUGUGGGUUUCUCGAUUGCGGAAGGGGGGUGAAAAACGCGUGUAUCAUCCCCUUAUCUUUGGGGUAUCUCCAGGAAACGGGGGCGAUAACCGCGUAGAAUCUCUUGCUCCGGGUGGGGGAUUGGAAAGUUUCGGCGGUGGGGGCAGGACUAGCGGCUUACCAGCUUGUUGGUGGGGUAGUGGCUUACCAAGCUUUUGACGGGUAGCCGGCCUAGGAGGGUGACCGGCGACAUUGGGACUGAGAUACGGCCCAGACGCCUACGGGAGGCAGCAGUGGGGAAUAUUGCACAGUGGGCGGAAGCCUGAUGCAGCAACGCCGCGUGCGGGAUGACGGCCUUCGGGUUGUAAACCGCUUUCGCCUGUGACGAAGCGUGAGUGACGGUAAUGGGUAAAGAAGCACCGGCUAACUACGUG